RNAcentral lists this ribosomal RNA (254 nucleotides) under uncultured bacterium. RNAcentral's name for it is "partial 16S ribosomal RNA". It matches the Rfam family "Bacterial small subunit ribosomal RNA", at positions 524 to 776 of the family's 1533-position model. The record is from RNAcentral.
UACGUAGGGGGGCAAGCGUUGUCCGGAUUUAUUGGGCGUAAAGAGCGUGUAGGCGGCUUUACAGGUCCGUUGUGAAAACUCGAGGCUCAACCUCGAGACGCCGGUGGAAACCGUAAAGCUAGAGUCCGGAAGAGGAGAGUGGAAUUCCUGGUGUAGCGGUGAAAUGCGCAGAUAUCAGGAGGAACACCCGUGGCGAAAGCGGCUCCCUGGGACGGUACUGACGCUGAGACGCGAAAGCGUGGGGAGCAAACAGG